This 2859-nucleotide long non-coding RNA is filed under the name Equus caballus (horse). RNAcentral describes it as "lncRNA (ENSECAG00000045524.1)". Lineage: Eukaryota; Metazoa; Chordata; Mammalia; Perissodactyla; Equidae. The record is from RNAcentral.
CUAGAUGAGGUCCUUUGUAGUCUUAUUCAUUUUGGGUGAUCCUUAUUCUCCUGGACCAGAACAAUAUGGAGAAAAACACAGGGCAAGGUCUCUAGGGCCACAACUCCAGAGGCAAAGUACACAUCAAGGUCUAUGUAAGAAAAUUGCCCUCCAGUGACCUGGGUGUAGGUUAUCACAGAGUAUUUACAUUGGGGGCUGAGGAUGGAGGAAUCUCUCCAAAUGUACUUUUCUCCUCAUUUGUUGAAACUUGCUGUGAAUACUUUCUAUCUUCAGUUACUCUCUCAACUUGCCUUUUAUGGCAGUAAGUUAGUUGCCUAGGGAAAUGCAUUAAUUUUAUGGUGGCUCACAGGCCAUUUAGUACAGCUGAGCUGAUGCAAUGGACCUAACCCGCCAUGGGACUCAACACUAGGAGAGCGUGAAAAUACAGAGCCAAUGACCUAGGUGUCUGAGUGUAGACCGUCCCCUGUUCACCUGCCACCUUCUGCUGCUCCUUGCUCUCAUCUGCUAGGUUCUUCCAUGCUCUUUCAGCAUCCUACGUCUGUGCCUCAGUCUCAUCUACAAAGGGGAAUAAGAACAUUAUAUACUUUUUAUGGAUCUUUUGAGAAUUGAACAAAUACAUAUAAAACUUUUACAACAGCCCCAAACAGUACUAGUAGUGGUAAAUAAAAAGUAAACAUAUAAAAUAACAAAUAAAUUUAUUAGCAGUAAUAAAGAGUAGAAAAGUAACAGUAAGUAUAAGCUAUUAUCACAUCGUCAUGACAACCACCAUACCAUCAUCAUCAUCAUCAUCAUCAUCUCAGCCUCUGAUACUUGCGUCUUGUGCUAUAGAAUAGUAUAUAAUUCUGUGGCUCACCCUCAGCAUCCUCCCUAGAACUGUGCUAUACGAUAGGGUAGCCAGUAGUCACAUGUGGCUACUGAGAACUUGAAAUGUAGCUCGUUCAAACUGAGAUGUGCCAUAAGAAUACAAGCUCGAUUUAGAAGACUUAGCACCAAAAAAAGAAUCUCUCAUCUAGACUCUGAGUGGAGACACUUCUGCUUUCUAUUAUGGAUUUGCAGGGCCUGGCUUGCCCAGGGCAGUUAAGCCCAGCCUGCCCUGCCAAGAGAGAGUGACGGGAGAAAAGCUGAUGGGCGUGCAACUUAGAAGUUGGUUACUAAGGGCCUAAGUGGAGCCCUCAGGAAAGAGUUAUUGCCUCUUAAAUAGCACCUUACUCUCUGGGAGUGAAUGAAAGGAGGAGCUCUUUCUGUUAAAGUCAUUUAAGAUCCUUUGCUGAAAGGAACCAUAUGCUACACAAUGAAAUAUAUUCCAGGCAAGAUGCAUAUGUUUUGCACAAUAAACACGUAUGCAAAUCUUGCAAAGAUUUUUAAGAAGAAAAUGUGCUGAUAUUAUUCACAUCAGUAUCAUUUAAUGCAUCCUUAUUCUUCAGAUCUGAAACCAAAUCCAAGUCACUGCUUUCCUCCUCUGCCCCAACCCUUGACGGUGAAUAUUUUAUACAAAAGCAAUCUAAGAUUUUGGGGCUUGGUCAAGAGGAGUUUGUUUCCGGUGGCUGAAAUUUAAGGCUCAAUAAAUCAUAAGCUCCAAACAGACUGGCAAAUAUCCAAUGGGCCUGGCAGUAUCUGCAAAUGCCUUCUUCCUCUCUGGGACGAUCUGGGUGGGAACAGCACUGAGCCAAAAUCCCAAGACCUGAAGCUGCGGCCUGCCCUUCUCAAGUCUAAGAUUCACAAAGCGUUUUCUCUUUAGGACUGUUCUCAGACUUGAAAUAUUUUGAACACAGACCUGCAAUCCAUAAUUGGAACUGGCGUUGAAAGGAAAUUAGAGUGCUCCUUGAAUCACAACCAUGCAAGGUUUCUCUCUGCCUAAAUGAGUCUCCAUUGCAGGUGACAGAGCAGAAGAAGCCUUGUGGGGUCCUAAUAAAGUUGUGCUGGCUAGUGAAUAAACAGGAAAAUUCAGAAAUCAGCGUCGUCCUGGGAGACUCCAUUCAGGGAGUAAAAGGUCUCACCGAGCAUGGUGCCAUCCCUUUAAUUGUCCCCUGCUCCGUGUGUUGCUUCCCAUCAUACAUUCUUCUGAAAAGCCGUAUUGCAGCAAAUACACAUUUAGGAUUUGAUUACAGAGUCUCAUCCAUUUACAUGUACAAGAUAGAGCCUACUGUGACAGAUUAAUGCUCCUAAAGUUUGUACAGGAAGGUUAAAUAAAGUGUUACUUUUAUGACACCAAAUAUCUUUAUGAUGCUUUUGCUAAAUCAGAGACCACUUGGUGAUGCUGCAGAUGUGCCAGAUACUUAUCACGAGCUGGCAGAGUGCCACUCGUGCUUUGCCCAUCUAUCACAUGCCUUACAUUUCUGCACGGGCCAUCCUUACUGCUGUGUGUAAUACAAUAUUCGCCAGCCAGCUUUCUCUUCUACACGUUUAGUCAAAGUGAAACAAUUCAAGUCCUGUCAUCCUGAGACAUGGCAAUGUUGCUAGAAAGAGUGCAACUCGAAAUUUCACACACAAUUCAGCUCUUUCCAACGUGGAUAUAAUGCACACACACGUACACACACAGACACACAUAAUCUUGGGGAUUGUAACGCCAUGGUCAAAGCUGCCACCACAGUUUUAUCUUCUUUCCCUUCCACUCUCCUUUUGAUAUCCAUCUACUUUGAUUGCCUUGCCCUUCCUUCCACUGUGAAGCCUGGAACAUUCUCUGUUGAUUCUUGUUCACGCUGAAUUUUCUGCUCCCUUUUCAGUUCCUUAAUAAAUAUCCAUACUGAAUCUUGUCUUAUUACAUCAGCCUCUCUGUGUUUUCCUUAAUGAUAAUUAAGUCUCCUGAAAAAUUGAUGUAAAGGCAUUUCUUGGUUGAGCCAUAAUUUGGCCAGAGUUGUG